Molecule: non-coding RNA, 205 nt
Organism: Oryza glaberrima (African rice)
Lineage: Eukaryota; Viridiplantae; Streptophyta; Magnoliopsida; Poales; Poaceae
Source: Rfam
GAAAAAACAAACCCUAGUUUUCCUGUCCAACGUUUGACUGUCCGUCUUAUUUAAAAAAAUUAUAAAAAAAAUUAAAAAGACAAGUCACACAUAAAGUAUUAAUCAUGUUUUAUCAUCUAUCAACAAUGAAAAUACUAAUUAUAAAAAAAAUUCGUAUAAGAUGGAUAGUCAAACGAUGACAUAGGAACCCACAGUUUACUUUUUU